CAGUAGCCACGGGAAAACAGAGGGUGCAAGCGUUAAUCGGAUUUACUGGGCGUAAAGCGUGCGUAGGUGGCUGUUUAAGUCGGAUGUGAAAGCCCUGGGCUUAACCUGGGAACUGCAUUCGAUACUGGAUAGCAAGAGAUCGGUAGAGGGCAGCGGAAUUCCGGGUGUAGCGGUGAAAUGCGUAGAUAUCCGGAGGAACACCGAUGGCGAAGGCAACUGCCUGGGCCUGAUCUGACACUGAGGCACGAAAGCGUGGGUAGCAAACAGGAUUAGAUACCCCAGUAGUCCCUGUCUCUUAUAA
RNAcentral lists this ribosomal RNA (301 nucleotides) under uncultured bacterium. Its description in RNAcentral is "partial 16S ribosomal RNA". It matches the Rfam family "Bacterial small subunit ribosomal RNA", at positions 509 to 809 of the family's 1533-position model. The record is from RNAcentral.